CCUACGGGCGGCUGCAGUGAGGAAUAUUGGUCAAUGGACGAGAGUCUGAACCAGCCAAGUAGCGUGAAGGAUGACUGCCCUAUGGGUUGUAAACUUCUUUUAUAUGGGAAUAAAAUGUUCCACGUGUGGGAUUUUGUAUGUACCAUAUGCAUAAGGAUCGGCUAACUCCGUGCCAGCAGCCGCGGUAAUACGGAGGAUCCGAGCGUUAUCCGGAUUUAUUGGGUUUAAUGGGAGCGUAGGUGGAUUGUUAAGUCAGUUGUGAAAGUUUGCGGCUCAACCGUAAAAUUGCAGUUGAAACUGGCAGUCUUGAGUACAGUAGAGGUGGGCGGAAUGCGUGGUGUAGCGGUGAAAUGCUUAGAUAUCACGAAGAACUCCGAUUGCGAAGGCAGUUCACUGGACUGCAACUGACACUGAGGCUCGAAAGUGUGGGUAUCAAACAGGAUUAGAUACCCUUGUAGUC
Molecule: ribosomal RNA, 460 nt
Filed under: uncultured bacterium
Lineage: Bacteria
Description: partial 16S ribosomal RNA
Rfam family: Bacterial small subunit ribosomal RNA
Source: RNAcentral